Molecule: ribosomal RNA, 497 nt
Filed under: uncultured bacterium
Lineage: Bacteria
Description: partial 16S ribosomal RNA
Rfam family: Bacterial small subunit ribosomal RNA
Source: RNAcentral
GAUGAACGCUGGCGGCGUGCCUAAUACAUGCAAGUCGAGCGAACAGACGAGGAGCUUGCUCCUCUGACGUUAGCGGCGGACGGGUGAGUAACACGUGGAUAACCUACCUAUAAGACUGGGAUAACUUCGGGAAACCGGAGCUAAUACCGGAUAAUAUAUUGAACCGCAUGGUUCAAUAGUGAAAGACGGUUUUGCUGUCACUUAUAGAUGGAUCCGCGCCGCAUUAGCUAGUUGGUAAGGUAACGGCUUACCAAGGCAACGAUGCGUAGCCGACCUGAGAGGGUGAUCGGCCACACUGGAACUGAGACACGGUCCAGACUCCUACGGGAGGCAGCAGUAGGGAAUCUACCGCAAUGGGCGAAAGCCUGACGGAGCAACGCCGCGUGAGUGAUGAAGGUCCUCGGAUCGUAAAACUCUGUUAUUAGGGAAGAACAAAUGUGUAAGUAACUAUGCACGUCUUGACGGUACCUAAUCAGAAAGCCACGGCUAACUACGUG